RNAcentral lists this ribosomal RNA (440 nucleotides) under uncultured Alphaproteobacteria bacterium. RNAcentral's name for it is "bacterial SSU rRNA". It matches the Rfam family "Bacterial small subunit ribosomal RNA", at positions 43 to 527 of the family's 1533-position model. Lineage: Bacteria; Pseudomonadati; Pseudomonadota; Alphaproteobacteria. The record is from RNAcentral.
CAGGCCUAACACAUGCAAGUCGAACGCGUGUAGCAAUACACGAGUGGCGCACGGGUGAGUAACGCGUGGAUAUCUGCCUUUUGGUUCGGAAUAACCCCGGGAAACUGGGGCUAAUACCGGAUGGUUCCUUCGGGAUAAAGAUUUAUCGCCAAAAGAUGAGUCCGCGUCCGAUUAGCUAGUUGGUGAGGUAAUGGCUCACCAAGGCGACGAUCGGUAGCUGGUCUGAGAGGACGAUCAGCCACACUGGGACUGAGACACGGCCCAGACUCCUACGGGAGGCAGCAGUGGGGAAUAUUGGACAAUGGGGGCAACCCUGAUCCAGCCAUGCCGCGUGAGUGAUGAAGGCCUUCGGGUUGUAAAGCUCUUUUGGCGGGGACGAUGAUGACGGUACCCGCAGAAUAAGCCCCGGCUAACUUCGUGCCAGCAGCCGCGGUAAUACA